RNAcentral lists this ribosomal RNA (441 nucleotides) under uncultured bacterium. RNAcentral describes it as "partial 16S ribosomal RNA". It matches the Rfam family "Bacterial small subunit ribosomal RNA", at positions 338 to 795 of the family's 1533-position model. The record is from RNAcentral.
CCUACGGGAAGCAGCAGUGGGGAAUAUUGCACAAUGGGGGAAACCCUGAUGCAGCGACGCCGCGUGAGUGAAGAAGUAUUUCGGUAUGUAAAGCUCUAUCAGCAGGGAAGAAAAAAGACGGUACCUGACUAAGAAGCCCCGGCUAACUACGUGCCAGCAGCCGCGGGAAUACGUAGGGGGCAAGCGUUAUCCGGAUUUACUGGGUGGAAAGGGAGCGUAGACGGCGCGGCAAGUCUGAAGUGAAAGGCAGGGGCUUAACCCCUGAACUGCUUUGGAAACUGCCAUGCUAGAGUGCUGGAGAGGUAAGUGGAAUUCCUAGUGUAGCGGUGAAAUGCGUAGAUAUUAGGAGGAACACCAGUGGCGAAGGCGGCUUACUGGACAGUAACUGACGUUGAGGCUCGAAAGCGUGGGGAGCAAACAGGAUUAGAUACCCCAGUAGUC